RNAcentral lists this ribosomal RNA (253 nucleotides) under uncultured bacterium. Its description in RNAcentral is "partial 16S ribosomal RNA". It matches the Rfam family "Bacterial small subunit ribosomal RNA", at positions 524 to 776 of the family's 1533-position model. The record is from RNAcentral.
UACGUAGGGUGCGAGCGUUAAUCGGAAUUACUGGGCGUAAAGCGUGCGCAGGCGGUUUUGUAAGCCAGAUGUGAAAGCCCCGGGCCUAACCUGGGAAUGGCAUUUGGGACUGCAAGGCUGGAGUGUGGCAGAGGAGACUGGAAUUCCUGGUGUAGCAGUGAAAUGCGCAGAUAUCAGGAGGAACACCGAUUGCGAAGGCAGCUCGCUGGGACGUGACUGACGCUGAGACGCGAAAGCGUGGGGAGCAAACAGG